CAGCCGCCACGGUAAAACGUAGGUGGCAAGCGUUGUCCGGAAUUAUUGGGCGUAAAGGGCUCGCAGGCGGUUUCUUAAGACUGAUGUGAAAGCCCCCGGCUCAACCGGGGAGGGUCAUUGGAAACUGGGAAACUUGAGUGCAGAAGAGGAGAGUGGAAUUCCACGUGUAGCGGUGAAAUGCGUAGAGAUGUGGAGGAACACCAGUGGCGAAGGCGACUCUCUGGUCUGUAACUGACGCUGAGGAGCGAAAGCGUGGGGAGCGGCCAGGAUUAGAUACCCGUGUAGUCCCUGUCUCUUAUAC
Molecule: ribosomal RNA, 301 nt
Filed under: uncultured bacterium
Lineage: Bacteria
Description: partial 16S ribosomal RNA
Rfam family: Bacterial small subunit ribosomal RNA
Source: RNAcentral